CGAACGCUGGCGGCGUGCUUAACACAUGCAAAUCGAACGGAAAGGCCCUGCUUUUGUGGGGUGCUCGAGUGGCGAACGGGUGAGUAACACGUGAGUAACCUGCCCUUGACUUUGGGAUAACUUCAGGAAACUGGGGCUAAUACCGGAUAGGAGCUCCUGCUGCAUGGUGGGGGUUGGAAAGUUUCGGCGGUUGGGGAUGGACUCGCGGCUUAUCAGCUUGUUGGUGGGGUAGUGGCUUACCAAGGCUUUGACGGGUAGCCGGCCUGAGAGGGUGACCGGCCACAUUGGGACUGAGAUACGGCCCAGACUCCUACGGGAGGCAGCAGUGGGGAAUAUUGCACAAUGGGCGGAAGCCUGAUGCAGCAACGCCGCGUGCGGGAUGACGGCCUUCGGGUUGUAAACCGCUUUCGCCUGUGACGAAGCGUGAGUGACGGUAAUGGGUAAAGAAGCACCGGCUAACUACGUG
Molecule: ribosomal RNA, 466 nt
Filed under: uncultured bacterium
Lineage: Bacteria
Description: partial 16S ribosomal RNA
Rfam family: Bacterial small subunit ribosomal RNA
Source: RNAcentral